UGGGGAAUAUUGCACAAUGGGCGCAAGCCUUAUGCAGCCAUGCCGCGUGUAUGAAGAAGGCCUUCGGGUUGUAAAGUACUUUCAGCGGGGAGGAAGGGAGUAAAGUUAAUACCUUUGCUCAUUGACGUUACCCGCAGAAGAAGCACCGGCUAACUCCGUGCCAGCAGCCGCGGUAAUACGGAGGGUGCAAGCGUUAAUCGGAAUUACUUGGCGUAAAGCGCACGCAGGCGGUUUGUUAAGUCAGAUGUGAAAUCCCCGGGCUCAACCUGGGAACUGCAUCUGAUACUGGCAAGCUUGAGUCUCGUAGAGGGGGGUAGAAUUCCAGGUGUAGCGGUGAAAUGCGUAGAGAUCUGGAGGAAUACCGGUGGCGAAGGCGGCCCCCUGGACGAAGACUGACGAUCAGGUGCGAAAGCGUGGGGAGCAAACAGG
This 429-nucleotide ribosomal RNA is filed under the name Chloroflexota bacterium. Its description in RNAcentral is "Chloroflexi bacterium partial 16S ribosomal RNA". It matches the Rfam family "Bacterial small subunit ribosomal RNA", at positions 355 to 776 of the family's 1533-position model. The record is from RNAcentral. Lineage: Bacteria; Bacillati; Chloroflexota.